This is a non-coding RNA of Pelobates cultripes (western spadefoot toad), 323 nucleotides long. Lineage: Eukaryota; Metazoa; Chordata; Amphibia; Anura; Pelobatidae. The record is from the annotation of a GenBank genome assembly.
GUUAAGUAGCACGUAAGUGGCCCCCAGCAUGAAGUGAGAAAGCAUACUGGCAGGACAACUGGCUACUGAUCUAUGUAAGGCUAAUGUUACUGAGUCUCAACCUCUUUUUUUUUUUCAAACUUAAGACUGCAAAAGAUCUGGGUUUGAUUGAAUACCACUGAUGGUAUUCGAUUUUCUGUCUUAGCUAGCAUUGUGCAGUAAAAAUGCAUCCAAACUUAAUCAGUGCACCACAUAGUGUCAUCAUUAUCAUAUUAUCAUAACUGUGAACAUAUUAGUUUUAUCCAUAUACUUUACAACGUGUCAAAGAAGGAGAAAGAUGUAAA